This 300-nucleotide long non-coding RNA is filed under the name Malus domestica (apple). RNAcentral describes it as "long non-coding RNA (MDOM_LNC003523)". Lineage: Eukaryota; Viridiplantae; Streptophyta; Magnoliopsida; Rosales; Rosaceae. The record is from RNAcentral.
GAUGUGUUGUCGGAUUUGCACAAGAAAUAUGGGUCUGUUGUCAAGUUGUGGUUGGGUCCGACUGAGCUAUGAGCGUCAAUAAAGGAUUGCAACACAGUAAUGUCAGAAGAAAAAAAGGCCUGUGUUUCUAUUUAGUGAAGAGAGAUAUAUAAUUAUGAUGAUGAAGAAAACGACCAAAAUCACCAUGAUCAAGGAUCUCAGGAGAUGGAAGCAUUGAGAUAUAGCAUAGCCCAUAUUCAGGGAGCAUUGGUGUAGUUCACCCCCUCGAUGUCGGAUAAGUGGAUUUGCGAAAAUUGUGGC